GCCUAAAACCAUAGCGUUGUGCAUCUCCCCACUCAUCUCUGUUGUGCAUCUCCCCACUCAUCUCUGCUCCCUACUCAUCUCUGUACGUAUAUUUCAGUGCUCCCUACUGAUCUCUGAUGUAUUGAGUGGCGUUGAAGAAAACGGGGUUUAGUGGUUAGGAAAUUGAAGACUACACCCAGGAUUUGUAUGUGUGAAUUCUUCCAAAACCUACGCAUUUUUCUGAUUUGUAUUGGACCGUCGUAAACAAUCAGCGUAUUCGUUAAGGACUUCAAGUAUACAGGAAUUCGUUCUUUCGGCAGAUGAUCCAUGAUCAUAUGAGAACAUACGGUUCAUUGCAAAAGCAUGUUUUUUUGCACAAAAAAGAUAUUAAGGGGGUAUAUACACCUGGCAGGGUCCAAAAAAUCAAUUUUUCAAUUUUUACAUUUUCUCCAAGUGUUAUAUGUUAAGAAUGUCUGGUGAGAAAUUUAAGUAAAAAUUCCAAAAAAUGACAAAGUUAUAGCCCAAAUAGUACAUGCGUUCGUAGGACCGGCGCCGCGCCGUGUCGGGUCAUACAGGUAGUACGGCGCCGUCCAUUCGGUCUUAUUGUGCCUAUUGUGUUUUUUUUUUGUAUAUCAGUAUUUUAUUGGUCCUGCAUAGCCUGUCUGGGUUGACUACUUUAAACAUAACGGUUAUCCUGACAGAAAUUUUGCGUGCUUCGUCAGUAGCUUUCCGUCCGUGUAGCUGUGCCAUAGAGCAAGUAUCGAAGCCUUCAUUUGUGAAUAAAAGUAUACAGGAGUAAAGGUGGAAAGAAGUAAAGGUUCUCGAGAAAGUCACAAAUCGAGUGAAUUGCAGAGGGUCGCAAAAAAAAAAAGAAAAUGGCGCCUAAAAAUCGAUACGACGCAAAAAGAACGGAAUCGAAUGUUAGUACCAGUGCCAAAAAAUUGAAGACUACACGAGAUGUUCCAGUGCCAGAAGACCUAGGUAGACGAUAUGGGCGUACCUUCCACUUCGGAGAACCUAUAUUAUGGACCUGGUAUUGAUGACUUUGUAUGAUUUGGACGAAACGCCAGUGGAUACCGAAAUGGCCGAUUUUUUUACGACAGUCCGUAGACGACAUCACUACUCCGUCAAUUUGCAACAUUUUUAAAUAAAAAAAAAAUUAAAAACGUU
This is a long non-coding RNA of Cephus cinctus (wheat stem sawfly), 1149 nucleotides long. RefSeq lists it as uncharacterized. NCBI's taxonomy places the organism in Eukaryota, Metazoa, Arthropoda, Insecta, Hymenoptera, Cephidae. The record is from RefSeq and is a predicted model, not a curated record. The transcript is spliced from 3 exons.